AAUAAAUACCUUAUACUUGGUUUUAAAAUAGUAUUGUACAGAAUAAAUAGUAAAAUUAUUGAACUGUAGAUAGCUAAUAUUUACAGUGACUUUUCUAAGGUGUUCGGUGUUAUAAAAGGAACUAAAGUUGGACUUUUGGUUGAUGUGUCUCAUUUGAGUUAUGGACCUAGACUACUGGAUUUUCAGAAGAACCUUUUGUGCUUAAUAGAUGAGCAACUUUGUUAUAAGAAGCAGUUGUACUGCCUCUCAUUCAGUACAGAAAUUUCACUGCUGUGGGAGAGUCCAAAAAUCAUCAAUGUUCAUGUGCUACAUGAAGCAAGACAGUGGAUACAAGAGCUGGAGCCUGGUCGAGGCUGUAAUUUGCUGAAAGCCUUAAGGCAUGUCCUUCCAAUGAAAGAACUGAAUUCCUUGGUUCUUAUUGUAGG
Cyanistes caeruleus (blue tit) is the source of this 425-nucleotide non-coding RNA. NCBI's taxonomy places the organism in Eukaryota, Metazoa, Chordata, Aves, Passeriformes, Paridae. The record is from RefSeq and is a predicted model, not a curated record.